Long non-coding RNA from Parus major (Great Tit), 560 nucleotides. RefSeq lists it as uncharacterized. Lineage: Eukaryota; Metazoa; Chordata; Aves; Passeriformes; Paridae. The transcript has 3 exons. The record is from RefSeq and is a predicted model, not a curated record.
UCUCCACGUUAUAACUCCCUCCCAUGUGGAUAAAAACAGAUCUGUGAUGGUGGAAAUUCACACUGGAUGCACUGGGACCUCUGAGUUGCUCAACCCAACAUUCCUGACAGGUGAAUCCUUGCACAGCUGUUUUGGUGAAACACAAGCCACCAGGAGAAGAAGUUUUUCUUGCUGAGCCCCAAAUCACCCCACAGGGACCACACCACACCACGUAAGAUCCACCAUCCCAUUCCCAAGGCUGACUGCGGGGCCGUGGUGUCUCCUGCCUGGAAGAAAUUCCCACAUUUCACCUGGAUGCUCCUUCUCCUCAAGAAGCAACAUUUCUUUUCUUAUUUGGAAUUGGAGCCAUUCCUUGCCUGGGGGCUCCUUUAUUUCAUUGGGAGAAACAUUUUGAGUGACUUCUCAGUGGGUUUUGGAUGACUGAUGUCAAUUUUUUGAUGGACACCUUCCCCUGCUGAUGGAGUUUUCCCCCUUUUUUUAUCCUUCAUAUGAAGUGGUUUGACAACUCUGUUCACCUCUUCCUUUGUGAUUUGCUGAAAUUUAUGACAGGAGGAAUUGGA